GUGGUCUUAGUUUAACGGUAGAAUUGCUGGCUUCCAACCAGCGGGUAAGGGUUCGACUCCCUUAGACCAUA
This 71-nucleotide transfer RNA is filed under the name Bacillus phage Bp8p-C. It matches the Rfam family "tRNA". Rfam says of the family: Transfer RNA (tRNA) molecules are approximately 80 nucleotides in length. Their secondary structure includes four short double-helical elements and three loops (D, anti-codon, and T loops). The record is from Rfam by way of RNAcentral. Lineage: Duplodnaviria; Heunggongvirae; Uroviricota; Caudoviricetes; Herelleviridae. RNAcentral also lists the same sequence under 1 other name.